This 58-nucleotide transfer RNA is filed under the name Mus musculus (house mouse). It matches the Rfam family "tRNA", at positions 8 to 63 of the family's 71-position model. From Rfam's summary of the family: Transfer RNA (tRNA) molecules are approximately 80 nucleotides in length. The record is from Rfam by way of RNAcentral. RNAcentral also lists the same sequence under 1 other name. Lineage: Eukaryota; Metazoa; Chordata; Mammalia; Rodentia; Muridae.
UGGCUCAGUGGUUAAGAGCACUGACUGCUUUUCCAGAGGUCCUGGGUUCAAUUCCCAG